UUUCACUCCCUAACUA
This 16-nucleotide transfer RNA is filed under the name Salmonopuntia schickendantzii. Its description in RNAcentral is "Opuntia schickendantzii partial tRNA-Leu". The record is from RNAcentral. Lineage: Eukaryota; Viridiplantae; Streptophyta; Magnoliopsida; Caryophyllales; Cactaceae.